AGAUAAGGACACAGAUUUACAAGGAGGAACCAUUUCUGACACCUAUACAUUGUUGUGCCAUUGUUGAUUAGGAUAUACAAACAAUGGUUUGAUUAGUUCGCUGCAUCCUCCCUCAGGUGCACGUGCUGAAGAGAUGCAGCAACAACUAGUUGGUGCCAUUGGUGGUCAACACACAUCUUCUCCUGCUGCAGUAUGGUUGUCAUAUGCUUAUUGAGCACGCUGAUAUGCAUUGAUGCUCUGAAUUUAGCAGGCAAUAUCGACAGAUCAGUAGGAAAAAGUGACGGGCUACCUUCUGCACAUGCCUCAUUCAAUGUGAACUGGAGUUACUUGACACAAAGCUGGCCAAACAAGAUGUAGCUACAAACAAAAGGUGUUAAAUGGUUCCAUUCUGCCGGGAAGCAUUCAUCCAUGUAUACGGGUAAGAGUCUAGCUACAUUUUCCAGAUGAGAUGCUAAUUUAGUCAGAAAGUCAUUUCUAUUGCAAGUUAAUGCAUACUGUUAGUUAGCUAGCAAACUUUAGCUU
RNAcentral lists this long non-coding RNA (522 nucleotides) under Oncorhynchus kisutch (coho salmon). RNAcentral describes it as "lncRNA (ENSOKIG00005003054.1)". The record is from RNAcentral. Lineage: Eukaryota; Metazoa; Chordata; Actinopteri; Salmoniformes; Salmonidae.